This 325-nucleotide unclassified non-coding RNA is filed under the name Hevea brasiliensis (rubber tree). The record is from RNAcentral. Lineage: Eukaryota; Viridiplantae; Streptophyta; Magnoliopsida; Malpighiales; Euphorbiaceae.
AGUAAUAAUUCCAGACUGAUGAAAGCAGUAUGGUCAUACAAUAUAUAGACUUCUAGUUAUUUGAUUCCUUCAAUGAAUUAGGCCACUUUAACAGUGCAGAAUUAAAAUUUUCAAAUUGCAUUAAGAACUAAAGGGCCACACUGAGAAGCACAUUGCUUCUUGAAGACUACAGAAAAGCACUGGUUAGACGAAUGUGAAAGAAGAAACGACGCCCUUGGACCCUCCGGCGGCUUACAACGAACCGCUUGCAACCCAAUGCAGCUGCUCCUCCUUUUCAGUUGCAAAUCAACAGCAGCAGAAUCUUUAAGAGCUGACUCGUAGCAGA